UACGUAGGUGGCAAGCGUUGUCCGGAUUUAUUGGGCGUAAAGCGAGUGCAGGCGGCUCGAUAAGUCUGAUGUGAAAGCCUUCGGCUCAACCGGAGAAUUGCAUCAGAAACUGUCGAGCUUGAGUACAGAAGAGGAGAGUGGAACUCCAUGUGUAGCGGUGAAAUGCGUAGAUAUAUGGAAGAACACCGGUGGCGAAGGCGGCUCUCUGGUCUGUUACUGACGCUGAGGCUCGAAAGCAUGGGUAGCGAACAGGAUUAGAU
This 260-nucleotide ribosomal RNA is filed under the name uncultured Lactobacillaceae bacterium. RNAcentral's name for it is "partial 16S ribosomal RNA". It matches the Rfam family "Bacterial small subunit ribosomal RNA", at positions 524 to 783 of the family's 1533-position model. The record is from RNAcentral. Lineage: Bacteria; Bacillati; Bacillota; Bacilli; Lactobacillales; Lactobacillaceae.